Molecule: long non-coding RNA, 1042 nt
Organism: Phyllopteryx taeniolatus (common seadragon)
Lineage: Eukaryota; Metazoa; Chordata; Actinopteri; Syngnathiformes; Syngnathidae
Exons: 2
Source: RefSeq, a predicted model, not a curated record
AAAAAACCUUCAUUCAAUUUGAGACAACAGAACAUACCAAAAGAGCCCGCAACAAAAGCCACACUUACACUUGGCCUUCUCCUCGUCUCGUCCCCGUGUCAGAAGUACCAGACCCACUACAACAUUAUUGAAGUGAAGUCCUUUAGAGGAACCCCCAAAUGAAGUGUAGAUCACCUGAAUGGACAGGGAAAAAAUAGAUAAAAUUCAAGCUGUAAACAGCAACGAACAGGCAAAACUCUGGGAAAAUCUGAACAUUUGGAGAUAUAGAGCUUGGAUUUAAUGUCGAUAUGCAGAUGGGUGUUCGCUGGUGCAUUUACCCAGGCGCGAGAGGAUUGGAACAUUUCGAGCGUAGUUAUAAAGGUUUCCACCAGUAGGUGGAGAAAUGUGUCGCUGACCUAACACACCAAAAACAAAUCUGAACAAUUCAGAGUUUGUGCUGUGUAAUUACAACUGGAUCAUUUUCAUUGCGGGCCACCAGUAAAGUCAAUGUUGAUAUACAAGCAGGGGCUGGCGAGAAUUCUAGCACACCAUAAAAAAUAGUGCUACAGUAAUUAGACAUGGAAUGAAAUUUGUGCUGUGUAAUUUUUUACUACUCGUGGACACUACUGUAGUCAGUGCAAACGUACACUGUUCUAAAUAAUGAAGUAAACAUCCUUCCUUUCAGCUUCCAUCCUAAAUAGCCAAUGUGAUUUCCAAUGAAUACAAUUACAAAUGUCAUGAUCUGUGCACUGUAGUUCCUCUGCGGAGAGUGUUUGGCGCUUUGGUCCUCUUUUUUUCCCUCUCGCCUGCACACCUGGUUUCAAGCAGCACUCAACACAGCCUGCACUUAAGCCUGCAAGUUCCAGUGUUCCAACGCCAGAGUAUUCUCGCACCUGCGCGUGCCUUCCUGUGCCUCCAGCCACGAUGCCCACCCCAACCACACUGCCAAUCUCAACCCCUGCUCACGCUCCAGCCUCCUGCACGCUCCCUGCUCCUACGGACCGGGCCAAGCCUUGGAAUUCUCGACCCCGCGCUAACCUCAAUAAAUCCCCUUCCAACUGCU